GGAAACUGGGAUGAAACCUGAUGGCCAAAUGUUUCUGGGAGUCUUCCAUGCUUGUAGUGUUGUUGGUGAUAUAGUUGAGGGCAUGUUGCACUUUGAAUCAAUGAGUAAGGAUUAUGACAUUGAUCUAUCCAUGGAACAAUAUGUUGGAGCGGUGGAUAUGUUGGGAAGUACGGGAUAUCUUGAUGAAGCUAUGGAGUUCAUUGAAAGGAUGCCUAUAGAGCCA
RNAcentral lists this unclassified non-coding RNA (223 nucleotides) under Hevea brasiliensis (rubber tree). Lineage: Eukaryota; Viridiplantae; Streptophyta; Magnoliopsida; Malpighiales; Euphorbiaceae. The record is from RNAcentral.